Prosopis cineraria is the source of this 6910-nucleotide RNA transcript. RefSeq lists it as uncharacterized. The record is from RefSeq and is a predicted model, not a curated record. Lineage: Eukaryota; Viridiplantae; Streptophyta; Magnoliopsida; Fabales; Fabaceae. The transcript has 3 exons.
UGCACAACACGUUUUUGUGGGGAAGUAGGAGAGGGUUUUCAGAAAUCACGAGCCACUUACUUUAUCCUUAUUUGUAUUUUCAGUUCAUUUGAGAAACCCCGAUGCUAAGGCCAGCCUCCACAGUUGAAAUUCCCGACCGACGGCAUCGUUCGAACAAAGGAAACGGCCGCUACACCCCUGAUACCGAUGUCUCUGAUGAUUACCGAACCCGUCGUAGCCCUAGUUAUGAAUCAUAUGGUCGCUAUGCCAACAACGAUCGUUACGGCCGUCGAUCGGAGUCACCUGAAAACAGGAGCCCUAGAUACAACCAUCGAACUCUGAAUGGCGAUAGUUUGCCAAAGAAAUUCGGUCGUGGAGAUCGCCGCCGGGAUUUUGGGCGCUCUGAUUCUGAUUCGGACGAGGAGUUGAAGGGUUUGAGCUAUGAAGAGUUCAGAAGGUUGAAGAGGCAAAAGAUGAGGAAGAUGUUGAAACGCUGUAUUUGGAAUGUUACACCGAGUCCUCCAAGAGGCGAGAGCGAUGAUUUGGAGGAGAAAUUGGAAGAAAUUUCUGACGAGGACGGACAUGAUGGUUUGGGCAAGACUGAUUCGGCCGACAAGGAAACUAAAUCGAAAGGGGAGUUUGAAUCUUCGUCUGAGAAAUCUGCCAGUAGUGAAUCGAAGAGUUCGUUCGAGUCCGAGUCUGAUUCUGAAUCAGAUGUUUCACGCUCAAGGAGGAAGAUUAGACGGACUGCAGGUUCUAAGCGCAGGAGCAGGAAGUCUUACAGUGACACUGAAGCUGAGGAAAGUGAAAGUGAAUCUGAAGACGAUCGUCCGCGGAGAAAGAAAUCGGUUAAGAGUAGGAUAACCAGAAGUAGACGGGAAAGGAGCGGUAGGAAGAGGAAGAGAAGGCACAGCGAUUCGGACGCCAGCGAAGACGGUGAAAGUGAGGAGUCUGAUGCUAGUCGAUCUACAGAUGAUCGUGAGAGGUCACGCAAGAAACAUAAGCGAUCUUCAGGGUCUCGUUCAAAAGGUGGCAGGAGAAAGAGACGGUCUCAUGCGAAAAGUGAUGAUUCUUACCCUGAAGAAGAAAGCUGGGAUGCUGAAGCUGAUGCAAGGAUCAUGUUGGACGAGGUGAAGAAGCCAGAAAUUAAUGCUGAGGCACUGAAGCUGAAAGAAUUGUUUGAGUCACAGAAGAAACCCACAUUGGAUGAUGAACCCGUCGUUGGACCACAACCUUUGCCGAGAGCUGAGGGCCAUAUUAGUUAUGGUGGGGCGCUCAGGCCCGGGGAAGGUGAUGCCAUUGCACAGUACGUCCAGCAAGGGAAGCGUAUCCCUCGCAGAGGUGAAGUGGGUCUUUCUGCGGAGGAAAUUCAGAAGUUUGAAAGCCUUGGAUAUGUGAUGAGUGGCAGUAGACAUCAAAGGAUGAAUGCUAUUCGUAUUAGAAAAGAAAACCAGGUUUAUAGUGCAGAGGACAAACGUGCUCUGGCUAUGUUCAACUACGAAGAAAAGGCCAAGAGGGAACAUAAGGUUAUGGCUGAUCUGCAGCGGCUUGUGCAGCGCCAUAUUGGGCAGGAUGUUGGUCCAACUCAUGAUCCUUUUGCUGCAAAAGCCUUGGACGGCAGUGAUGCCUAAUUUUCAAGUAUAAUUUUUCAGUUAAUGUAAUAGGAUUUGUUUAUUUACGGCUGCAAGUAAUUGGUCUGGUGAGAAAUUAAUUGAGAGAGUGACCCAGGAAAUGGAGAAAUUAGUAGAGGCAGAGGAAACUUUCAAGGCUCUUGAUCUUAACAAGUUUGGGCUACACAAGUAUGCUAGGUGACAAUCAUUCAGGCUUAGAAGGAAAAUGGAAUGGAGAUGGGAGGUUACAUAAUUGAAGAGUCAUUUUACUUGAUCCCUUAUCAUAUGUCUUGUCAUGUGAAUCAAAUGACUGAAGUCUAGUUAAUCAGAUUAUCCAGAACAUUAUCAUCUCUGAUUAUUACCAGAAAAAUAAAAAAACUGCGCAAUAUAACUGAAAAACUGAACCUUUGUUUUUAAAUGUUAAAGACAACAUUGACUUGAUUAAAAUUAGAGGGACAAGAUGACACUUUUACAAUACUAGAGGGACCAAUUGUGUAUUCAAGUUUAAAAACCUUACAAGCCUGAAGAUGCUUUGAAACCCAUGACCCUUAUUGAAAAGGGGAAUAUACUUUGAUCUUUGAACUGUUAUGUUAGGAAUUUAGCGGGGUGGGUCUCGUGCAUUUAGGCCAAGAGAUCCUUGUGUGUCUAUGUAUCUUAGGAUAUAUUGAUCCAGACAAGCCCUUAAUGCCUCAACUGGGUAAACUCGGGCCAUUUUAGGACCCUCAACUCCUGGACACUUCCGCCCACGGAUCUCUAAGCGUGGUGACAUGGGUUUACACUCAUGGAUGUUGUUAGGAUUCUUUCUGGAGCACAAGUUUCUCAGAGAGGCAGGUUCAGAGCAUAUUUGAAUUGGUAUGACAAAAAUAAGAUAUUAUAGAAACAAGUUUUAGGGAAAGAGGAGAGAGUUUAUAGAGACAUAAUUGGGAAGACACACUGGUCUGUAUUUUUCCAAACGAGUUCUGUCUUAUAACAUAACUGAAUAUAAACAAAGGGAGAAGGAUCAGGACGACAUAUUCAUAAUUCUAAGAGAGCAAAUCAAUAUUACAUGCAUAACUAGACUUGAUAUAAAGUAAAAGCAAAAGUGAUUGACUGGGUUAAAGUAAACAAUUCUGUCCAAAAGUCAAAAGUAACUUUUGAUAAAAACUACUACAAGACAAAAUUGACUCUGAUAAAAGGAGGCAUGAUUAAAGUAAAGCGGAUUUCUUUAUUCAUAAUUGAGGAUGAGACCUCAAUUGUCGUUAACUCUUGUGGAUGUAUUUCUGCGCUGAUAAAAGGUUCGAUUAAGUCUUUUCGUCUUUUCUAAGCCAUUUGGUAGAAAGAGGUUUAAGAGUGAGCUGUUCUUCAUCAAAGUCUUCAUCCAUCAUUUGAGAGGGUUCGAAGGUAGGUGUAUCUUUUAAUUCUAAAAAUAGUUAGUGGGUUUAAGUCUCUAUUUCAUAGGGUUUUAGCUGUCUGGAAGAAAUGAUGUAGGGGUAAAGGAUGAUGCUCUAUGAUUGUUGCGAAAAAAUCCAUUGCCUUGAGGAUUUAGCCAAACAGAAACUGUACAGCAUUUAAAGUAAGUUUGUCAACUUCCUCCUGCAAUAAGGAUUUUUGACAAAGGAUAGAGAAUUCUGCAAACAAAUGUAAGCGAUGACUUUUGGGAAGCAGCACUCAGAGGAAGAAAACGAGAAAAGACAUUAGUAUGGUCAUGUCAGUGGUGAAUUCAAACAUUCUAAAAAGUAUUAUCACAUAGCAUACAAGGAGCUCCUAGUUGUGAAAUGUGGCACAGAGAAGUUUAGUUUUCAUGUUAGUCCUUAUCACUUUGUGAUAGAAAUGGACGACACCUCAUUCUCGAAAAUCUUUGAUCAGAACAGAAAGAUACUUCUACUCCCUGAAGCUAAUCUCUUUUGAUGGAAGGAUCGGUUUUCUUGUUAUAAAUUUAUAAUUUGGCACAUCAAGGGAAAUCAAAACACCAUUGGAGAUUUUUUGGCUCCACCUUCAAAAAAUUGAAAUCCAGUAAUAGCUUGAAUUCUUUGACAUUCAAGCCCCUUAGCUGGCUAUACCCUUCAUUAGAGGCCCCAUAUUAGAUCAAGCGAUGUGUUACCUUUGGUCCCUUGACCCUCUGCAUGUGCCUUUGCAUCUCCACCAUUAAUCAUUUAUCAUUACCUUUACGACUCUGCCAAUGAAGGAUCAAACCUUUGGAAGCUUCUUAAUUAGUUUUCACUAAUACCUAGAUGGCGAAAGAAACUCUCCCAAGUGAUUGAACCAUAUGAGCUAUGGAAAAAACCAUUGAAUGAAUGUAAGGCUUAUUCCUUCUUUGUUAUUUAUCAUCCUUAUCAACUUGAUAUCGAAGGAAAUCUUUAUGUGGCCAACAGGUAUGUUUAUAGAAGACCGCAACUAAUUGGCCAGCACAUGAAACUUUAGUUUUAAGUGAAUUAAAAGAAUUUUUAUGUGAAAGGAAUAAUUCUCCGAUCCUAAUCUUAGGUGUACAUCUCUUGAUCUUAUCCCUUAUCAGCCCAUCCUCCUCGAUGAUCCAUUACCAUUAGUAUAACAAGUUUUUAGAGAAUGGCUCUCUAGUAUUGCGGUUCAAAAAAGGAUACUCUACAUGGAUGGAAUCUUAUUAUGGAGCAUCAUCAUCUAUCCAUCCAUCAUUUCCUUCAGAUAGUUAGAGUCCUUAUGAGAUAGAGACUCAAACCUAUCAGUUGUUUUUAGAAUUAAAAGAUACACUUGCUGUGGAUCCUCUUAAGUUAUGGAUGAAAUUUUGAUGACGAACAACUCAUUCUUGAGUCCCCUCUAUUAUUAGAUUAGGAAUGCAUCCACAAGAGUUUAUCAUAAUUUAGGUCUUACCGUCAAUUAUGAGAAAAAGAAUUUGCUUUACUUUAAUCAUUUCUCUUUUUGUCAGAGUCUGUUUUGUUUUGUAAUAGUCUUUGUCAAAAGUUACUUUUGACUUUUGGAUAAUUUUUUUUUACUUUAAUCAAAUGAAUUGCUUUUGCUUUUACUUUAUAUUAUGCCUAUGUAUGUAUGUGAUAUCAGUUUGUCCUGUUGUAAUUAUAAUGUCAUUUUGAUCCUCCUCCUUUUAUCUAUAUAAGGAGAUUUUAGCUAUGUUGUGAGGUGGAACUCGUUUUAAAAAAUAAAGAUAAAUGUAUUUUCUCAAUUAUGUAAACUUUCUCCUCUCUACUGAAAGCUUGAUUUUAUAAUAUCUUACUUCUAUCAUAUCAGGAUUCAAGUAUGUUUUGCAUUUGCUUUUAUGAGGAACCUGUGCACCAAAAAAAAUUUGACCAACAAUUCAUGAGUGUGAGCCCGUGUUACUAUUUUUAGAGAUUUGUGGGGUUAAAGUGUCAAGGGGUUAAAAACUCAAAAGUAGCCUGAGUUUGCCCAUGAGAGGCAUUGAGCAGCCUUACUUGAAUUAAUAUACCUUAAAAUACUGAGACACACAAGGAUCUCUAGGUCCGUGUGGUAUCAAAGUCUACCAAUCAGGCUUUGAUGUCUUCUUUCGGUGACAUCUCUAACAUGAGGGAACACUUCACAAAUUCAAGUUCUUUACUGUUUGAUUGCUUGUCAGGUCAAAUUGUGCAUUAGCAAAAACUGAAGCCCAAGUUUAUGUGACUUUUGCUAUAACUAGCAUUAAACCAAAGGUAAGAGUCGUAAAAGUUUUCAUUAAUCAUUUUUCAUAGAGGAACUUCAUUUGGGGAGGCUCUUCUGGACACAGUUUUCAUCCUUCCUUUAAAUUGGCAUAGUGUCUCUCCCUAAGGAGCACGAUGGUCUUGGUUUUAGAAAACUCUCCUUUAUAAACAUAGCCUGUGGUGUUAAAUUGGCAUGGAAGUUAAUCUUUGGGGUGAAAGGAUUAUAGGCAGACAUCCUUCUACACAAGUACAUGCUUCGAAAUGAUAGUGAUCUUUUAGAAGUUAAAAAAGGAGACUCUCAACUUUGGCACUUCAUUUGCCAACAAAGUGAUUUAAUUAAAGAAGGCACUAAAUGGCAAAUUCGCAAUGGAGAAAAUGUUUCCUUCUUUGAUGAUUUCUGGCUUAUCCCUGGGACAAAACUGAAAGAUCUAUGUACAAGGCCCUUAUCUCUUAGGGAAGAACAAAGCAAAGUUGCUGAUUGGGUGGCUUAUGGUUCUUGGGAUUUUGUUAAUUUAGCAACUGUUCUUCCCAGUAACAUAAUCCUCAAACUAAUUGCUGUCAUUCCACCCUCCCAAAGAGCUGGUAAUGACAUCAUGUCCUGGAAUGCCUCCUCUAAUGGCAUUUUUACUCUCAAAAGUGCAUAUUUCCUUAUAGAAAAGAUCCCUCCAAAUUUAUAUUCUCCCACUUUUAAAGUAAUCUGUAAGUGGAGAGGAGAGGAAAGAAUUCGCCUUUUUUCUAUGGAUGAUCUUCCACAAUUGGCUACUAACAAAUUUGUGGCACAGCUCUUGGGCUCUUUCUUCACCACUCUGCAAUUGGUGUAACUCGAAUGAAGAAAAUAUUCUCCAUAUUUUAAGGGACUGUAAGUAUGCUCACUGCUCCUGGUUGCAAACGGUCCACCCUAAUUAUCAAAUAAUUUUUUUUUCUUAUCCUCUAAGGAGUGGGUUCAUGCUAAUUUGACUUGUAAUAUGGGACUCCAUAUUGACUCUGAUUGGGAGAUUUUUUGGGGUGUUUCUGUUUGGCAUUUUUGGAAAUGGAGAAAUAAUUUUAUUUUUGAUGCUAGUUUUCAUAAGCUUUAUGACCCUGUGUCCCAUCUUAUGGUUGUUUGAAAAUCCCUCUCUACCACCUAUUUUUCUACCUCAAAUGUGAAGAAUGAGCCUUCCUUAUGGCUCCCUCCUCAAUGUGGCUGGAUUAAAAUUAAUAUUGACGGUGCUGUUUCUCAAGUUGACUCUAAUGGUGGAUGUCGUGGUGCUCUAAGAGAUUAUUUGGGCUCUUGGAUUGCUGGGUUUUCCUUUUAUCUGGGCCAAUGUUCUCUUGAAGCUGAGGCUUGGGCUUGCCUAAAAGGACUUAAUCUUGCUUGGGAUAUGGGCUACAAGAGUGUUAUUCUUGAAACUGAUUGUAAGGCCUUAAUUGACAUUUUAGAAUCUGAACCUGAUGAACUCUCUCCUCACAGCCAAGUUGUGCUCGAGGUCUCUAAGUUGCUGAAGAACAAUUGGAUGGUCAAGUCUAAUCACAUUCCUAGGUUUAGAAAUAGAGUGGCUGAUAGACUUGCCAAAGAAGCUCUUCUUGUUUCUUCUUUUUUUAGCACUGCUCCUUCUUUUGUGAAGGACUUAGUUCUUUAUGAUUGUAUGGGAUUUCAAUCCCCCUCUCUGUCUUAACUUAAUUAGUACAUCGGGCCUGGCCCUCCCCUUUUACCCAAAAAAAAAAAAACUAGCAUUAAACCAA